This 2963-nucleotide long non-coding RNA is filed under the name Jatropha curcas. Its description in RNAcentral is "long non-coding RNA (JCUR_LNC000889)". The record is from RNAcentral. Lineage: Eukaryota; Viridiplantae; Streptophyta; Magnoliopsida; Malpighiales; Euphorbiaceae.
AGCCCACAAGAAUAAACGGCCUGCGGCGGCCAAAACGGCUGGUGGAGCGAUCACUCAUGUGGCCGACUAGAGGCUGCACGACUAGGCCCGAUAAUGGUCCGCAAAGCCAUAUAAUACUGGCCCACUUAUGCGGAAUUCCUAGCUCCUGCACGUAAGGUGUUAAGAGAGAGAGCUGUAAAGCCCAUCCGAACUGUAUGCCACCGGCGAUUGAAGUCACACGUAGUAGUUGCCGCAACGGUACUCUGCGGAUUACCGGUGGUCUAGCUCUGGCUCGAUGUGACUCCGCUUGUGGGAUUGCCAUCCCUUUUCCUCGAAAGGAACACGCACAAGCCCCGAACACUCACUAUCUAUGGCAAUCGAAGUAACUGUUUCUGAGUUUGUGCGCGUCUGCUUAUCUCAGUCUUUACACACACUCUCUCUCUGUCAAGUGUUUUUCAGCUUUUAGAAAUCAGAGGACUGAAGAAAGGAAGAACUUGAGUGAAUUGGCGGUUUUGUCGAUCGUUGCAAUUAUAGAACUACCCUUAUCCAUUAUGUAAUAUUACAGAUAGAUCUCAUCGAAAUAAAACGAGAAAAUAUCGGAGAGGCCGUGGAUGGUAAAUGACAAAGAAAAUGAGGGCAAAUGUUUGAAAAGGAAAUAUAUUGUUUUAGUCUUUUAGAGAGGUUUGGGGUAAGCUAAAUUAAACAGCCAAGUCGCCUGCAAGUGACGUUUGGAAUAUUGGAAUUCUGAAUCUAAAAUGACAGGAAUACCCCUAAAAAGAUACAAAUAGCAAGUCUGUUUUUGUAAUGCGAGGGCGUUUUUAUUGUUACAAAAGGAAACGUGGAGAGUGAUGGUUGGACCCUUAGGCUAGGCCAUUUGAUGUUUUAGGUACAUGAACCAAUGGGGCCAACCGUUGUUAAUAUUAGUAUGUUUACUAACAUCUCUCUCUCUUCAUCAUUUAUUUCCUUCCAAAUGAAUACAUAAUUUAAUCUAUAAAUUUUGACAUACAAAUUUCAUGUUAUUUUAAAUUUUAAAAAAUCAAGCUUGUGGUAUUAUAAAUUUUAUUUUUUAUUAUUAUACUAAAUUUUAAAUCUUUUCACGUUAACGACAAUAAUUUUUAAAAUUUUUAUUUAUAUAUAUAUAUAUAUAUAUAUAUAUAUAUAUAUAAUAUUAGUUUAAUAUAUAAUUAGUAUAAAUUUUUUAAUAAUGACUUUUGUGUUUUUUAAUUAACUAAUAAAUGUUUUAUAACUUGAGAUGUUCGAUGGAUAAAAUUAAAAUGAAUAAAUAUAAUUUUAUAAAAUUGAAAUAUAUAAUAAAUUAAAUUAAAAAUUUAAAAAUAUCAUAAAAUUUUUAGUGAAAAGUACAAGUUGAAUAUUUUUCUUCAUUAGUUGUUAAAAUGCAUGAUAGAGACGGUAGUUGUUAAAGUGCAUGAUAGAGACGUGUUUGUUAAGUAAAUAUCUUGGAAGUGGAAUAGUAGUUGAUUUUUCAUAUAUUUAUAGUUCGUUUUAUUGUUUUAUAAGUUAAAGACAUUUUUUUUUUCUUUGAAAUGCUAAACAUUUAUAUUAUUAGUCAAAAAUAAAUUUCAACAACUUCACCGGAGCUUUUCCUCCUUCAAUUUUUUUUUUUUUUUUUUUUUUUUUUUAUUGGCGGGUUUUCUUUUUUACUUCAAAAUUUGCAAUUUGCUACAAUUGAAUCCUAUUUUUUUUAUCCUGCCAUUUGAAAUUGUGCUACUUUUAAUAAGAUAAACUAUUAUAUUUUAGUUUGAUAAUUUUAUUGCUAUUAUAUAAUCAAAACUAAAAUAUAUAUAUAUAUAUAUAUAUAUAUUAUUUAUAAAGAAUAAGGUUAAACUUACGCAAUGAAUUUUAGCAUAAUAUACAGUUUGUUCAAAAAUAUUUUUUUGUAUAAUUAUUACACAAAAUUUAUAAUAAAUGAGCGAAAAAAAGACCUAAUUUUUGAGAAACAUUAAAGUAAUAAUUUUAAUAUUUUUAGCUUAUAAAUUAUUUUUAUCCUUUAAUAAUAAUAAUAUUCAAAAUUAGUAUUUUAUUCAUUGACUCCAAAUUAGAUGGUUCUAAUUAUUUGGUGUAAAAUUAGGGCGGAAGGGGUAUAAAAAGUUAAUUUUUAAAUAAAUUAUAUAUCUUUCCCAAAAUAAAUCGGGACGAGUUGAACCUUUUUCUAAUUAUAAAUGAAAAAAUUAUUUUAAUAUUUUCUUUAGUUUCUCCCUCGGUUCUUUUUUAUUUUUAUUUUUUUUUUUUUUUGAAAAUUUCAUUUAUCUAUGAUUAGAUUUUCCGUAAAUGAUCCCUUUUAAUUUCUAAUGGAUUUUAAAUAAAAAAUUCAUCCAUAAUUAGAUUUAAAUAAAUUCAUAAAUUCAAUUCGAUUAUUUCCACAAAUUAAACCCGAGCCCAGUAAAUCUAAAAAUUGAACCAAUCAAAACAGAAUUAAUUCACAUCCAUCAAAUAACGCGAAAAUUUAAAUUAAAUAAAUUGGAGCUCUAUAAUUACCAGUAAGAUCAGCAAGAAGAGCUCUGCAAGGACCUUGAGUCAUGUUAUUUGCCACAUCCAGAAUCCAAAAUCCGAAAACAAAAACUCCAAUUGCUCUUGGCCUGGUGUUUCCCCUGUCCCCCAAUAGCCAACCGAUAUCGGCGGAGUGACCGAUGAUUAAAACUGCAAGACAAAUUAAACCCGAGCCCACAAGAAUAAACGGCCUGCGGCGGCCAAAACGGCUGGUGGAGCGAUCACUCAUGUGGCCGACUAGAGGCUGCACGACUAGGCCCGAUAAUGGUCCGCAAAGCCAUAUAAUACUGGCCCACUUAUGCGGAAUUCCUAGCUCCUGCACGUAAGGUGUUAAGAGAGAGAGCUGUAAAGCCCAUCCGAACUGUAUGCCACCGGCGAUUGAAGUCACACGUAGUAGUUGCCGCAACGGUACUCUGCGGAUUACCGGUGGUCUAGCUCUGGCUCGAUGUGACUCCGCUUGUGGGAUUGCCAUCCCU